Molecule: small nuclear RNA, 107 nt
Organism: Delphinapterus leucas (beluga whale)
Lineage: Eukaryota; Metazoa; Chordata; Mammalia; Artiodactyla; Monodontidae
Source: Ensembl
GUGCUCGCUUAGGCAGCACAUAUACUAAAAUUGGAACAGUACAGAGAAGAUUAGCGUGGCCCCUGCGCAAGGAUGACACGCAAAUUUGUGAAGCAUUCCAUAUGUUU